Molecule: small nuclear RNA, 105 nt
Organism: Pipistrellus kuhlii (Kuhl's pipistrelle)
Lineage: Eukaryota; Metazoa; Chordata; Mammalia; Chiroptera; Vespertilionidae
Source: RefSeq, a predicted model, not a curated record
UCAUGCAUCAGGCCUCUAGUACACUAAAAUUGGAAUUAUAAGAGGAGAUCAGCAUGGCCCCUGUGCAAGGAUGACACGCAAAUUCAUGAACCAUUCCAUAUAUUU